AUAUGUGUAAAAAAUCAUAUUAUAUAUCAUAAAUGCUUAAUUAUUAUCACAUCAGCAUCAAUAAAAAAUUUUUAAAAAUAAAAAAAAUUGAAAUCUGAUUUUAAAAAAUUAAAAAAGAAAGAAACCAUAGAGGAGAGAGACGGGGGGAAGGAGGGAAGGGGAAAGAGAGAGAAGGAAAGGAGAGACUCUGUCGGUCGAUCUGAGAAUGAAAUUGGGGUCGAUUUGCCCUGGACCUGGCCAAUCUGCUUCAUUUGUCCCCAACGAGUAAGGUCGCUGUCGCUGUCGAUCUGUCAGAUUUGAGGCAGAUAGAUUCUGAUCCCACUCUAGGGUGACCGAUCGGUGCCAGCAAGGCCUUCCCUAUCUCCCUCAUUUCCUUCUAUCUCUCGAUCCCUUUUCUUCCUUCC
This 404-nucleotide long non-coding RNA is filed under the name Durio zibethinus. RNAcentral describes it as "long non-coding RNA (DZIB_LNC002386)". Lineage: Eukaryota; Viridiplantae; Streptophyta; Magnoliopsida; Malvales; Malvaceae. The record is from RNAcentral.